This 77-nucleotide transfer RNA is filed under the name Patescibacteria group bacterium. Its description in RNAcentral is "tRNA-Arg". It matches the Rfam family "tRNA". Rfam says of the family: Transfer RNA (tRNA) molecules are approximately 80 nucleotides in length. Their secondary structure includes four short double-helical elements and three loops (D, anti-codon, and T loops). The record is from RNAcentral.
GUGCCCGUAGCUCAGUUGGAUAGAGCGCAACCCUGCGGAGGUUGAGGCCGGACGUUCGAGUCGUCCCGGGCACGCCA